CCCUUAGAUGUCCUGGGCCGCACGCGCGUUACACUGAUGCAUUCAACGAGCUUAUAACCUUGGCCGAGAGGCCUGGGCAAUCUUGUUAACGUGCAUCGUGAUAGGGAUAGAUUAUUGAAAUUAUUAAUCUUGAACGAGGAAUCCCUAGUAAACGCAGAUCAUCAAUCUGCAUUGAUUACGUCCCUGCCCUUUGUACACACCGCCCGUCGCUACUACCGAUUGAAUGGUUUAGUGAGAUCUUCGGAUUGGCGCCACUGCGGCUCAGCAAUGGGCUCGGUGGAUGCCGAAAAGUUGAUCAAACUUGAUCAUUUAGAGGAAGUAAAAGUCGUAACA
This 333-nucleotide ribosomal RNA is filed under the name uncultured eukaryote. RNAcentral describes it as "partial 18S ribosomal RNA". It matches the Rfam family "Eukaryotic small subunit ribosomal RNA", at positions 1470 to 1796 of the family's 1831-position model. The record is from RNAcentral.